CAGUGGCUAGGGGGACUGGAGGGGCUGAGAGGAGAGAAAAGGGUCCCUAGUGACCAGAAAUGGAGGGGAGGAGACCUCCUGCCUGAGCCCUUCCUCACCCCCAGCUUUCACUCUUGCACUGCCCCCUGCCAUCUUCAAGGCACUGUCAUAAUUCCUGAGUUGUUCACCCCCACACUGCCAGUCCCCUGAAAGACCUGGGCAAUGCUGGAUUUGGGCAAAGCCAUCUACUUUCAUGGAGGAAGAGCAAUAACUUGAACGGAUAAAUAUGGUAACCAGCGUGGAGAUUCAGGAACUGCCCUGUAAAGCAAAGAGGGAGGCAAGGAUUUUGCUUAAUAGUCAUUGUAGAAAACAAUGAGAAUCAUCACCUGCAUUUACAUCUAAUGCAUUGAUUCUUCAGCCUCCCAACAAGAUAGAAAUGAUGGAUCCAGCUCUCCGUCAACCUUCAGCUUGACUCUCAAAAUAAUUCAUGCCAUAAACGAGCAGGAAGGUCUUGGACCACAG
Molecule: non-coding RNA, 501 nt
Organism: Pelodiscus sinensis (Chinese soft-shelled turtle)
Lineage: Eukaryota; Metazoa; Chordata; Testudines; Trionychidae
Source: RefSeq, a predicted model, not a curated record